AGUGAACGCUGGCGGUAGGCCUAACACAUGCAAGUCGAACGGCAGCACAGUAAGAGCUUGCUCUUACGGGUGGCGAGUGGCGGACGGGUGAGGAAUACAUUGGAAUCUACUUUUUCGUGGGGGAUAACGUAGGGAAACUUACGCUAAUACCGCAUACGACCUACAGGUGAAAGCAGGGGAUCUUCGGACCUUGCGCGAUUGAAUGAGCCGAUGUCGGAUUAGCUAGUUGGCGGGGUAAAGGCCCACCAAGGCGACGAUCCGUAGCUGGUCUGAGAGGAUGAUCAGCCACACUGGAACUGAGACACGGUCCAGACUCCUACGGGAGGCAGCAGUGGGGAAUAUUGGACAAUGGGCGCAAGCCUGAUCCAGCCAUACCGCGUGGGUGAAGAAGGCCUUCGGGUUGUAAAGCCCUUUUGUUGGGAAAGAAAAGCAGCAGGUUAAUACCCCGCUGUUCUGACGGUACCCAAAGAAUAAGCACCGGCUAACUUCGUG
This 492-nucleotide ribosomal RNA is filed under the name uncultured bacterium. RNAcentral's name for it is "partial 16S ribosomal RNA". It matches the Rfam family "Bacterial small subunit ribosomal RNA", at positions 29 to 507 of the family's 1533-position model. The record is from RNAcentral.